UAUGCACUAUUCUUUCAGUACGAAAGGACCAAAAGAAUGGGACCUAUGUUUAUAACAAGCCCCCAAUCACCCGAAACAAUAUUAAACCAACAGUACCAACCUUCCCCCCCCCCCAAAACAGGGU
Molecule: ribosomal RNA, 124 nt
Filed under: Varanus semiremex
Lineage: Eukaryota; Metazoa; Chordata; Lepidosauria; Squamata; Varanidae
Description: partial 16S ribosomal RNA
Source: RNAcentral